CAGUCGGCCGCGGUAAUACGAAGGGUGCAAGCGUUACUCGGAAUUACUGGGCGUAAAGCGUGCGUAGGUGGUGGUUUAAGUCCGUUGUGAAAGCCCUGGGCUCAACCUGGGAAUUGCAGUGGAUACUGGGUCACUAGAGUGUGGUAGAGGAUAGUGGAAUUUCCGGUGUAGCAGUGAAAUGCGUAGAGAUCGGAAGGAACAUCUGUGGCGAAGGCGACUAUCUGGGCCAACACUGACACUGAGGCACGAAAGCGUGGGGAGCAAACAGGAUUAGAUACCCCCGUAGUCCCUGUCUCUUAUA
RNAcentral lists this ribosomal RNA (301 nucleotides) under uncultured bacterium. RNAcentral's name for it is "partial 16S ribosomal RNA". It matches the Rfam family "Bacterial small subunit ribosomal RNA", at positions 509 to 808 of the family's 1533-position model. The record is from RNAcentral.